Molecule: ribosomal RNA, 497 nt
Filed under: uncultured bacterium
Lineage: Bacteria
Description: partial 16S ribosomal RNA
Rfam family: Bacterial small subunit ribosomal RNA
Source: RNAcentral
GAUGAACGCUGGCGGCGUGCCUAAUACAUGCAAGUCGAGCGAACGGACGAGAAGCUUGCUUUUCUGAUGUUAGCGGCGGACGGGUGGGUAACACGUGGAUAACCUACCUAUAAGACUGGGAUAACUUCGGGAAACCGGAGCUAAUACCGGAUAAUAUUUUGAACCGCAUGGUUCAAAAGUGAAAGACGGUCUUGCUGUCACUUAUAGAUGGAUCCGCGCUGCAUUAGCUAGUUGGUAAGGUAACGGCUUACCAAGGCAACGAUGCAUAGCCGACCUGAGAGGGUGAUCGGCCACACUAGAACUGAGACACGGUCCAGACUCCUACGGGAGGCAGCAGUAGGGAAUCUUCCGCAAUGGGCGAAAGCCUGACGGAGCAACGCCGCGUGAGUGAUGAAGGUCUUCGGAUCGUAAAACUCUGUUAUUAGGGAAGAACAUAUGUGUAAGUAACUGUGCACAUCUUGACGGUACCUAAUCAGAAAGCCACGGCUAACUACGUG